Chinchilla lanigera (long-tailed chinchilla) is the source of this 1682-nucleotide long non-coding RNA. RefSeq lists it as uncharacterized. The transcript has 3 exons. The record is from RefSeq and is a predicted model, not a curated record. Lineage: Eukaryota; Metazoa; Chordata; Mammalia; Rodentia; Chinchillidae.
GCCAGUUAUUUGUUAACUUAAAAAAAAACAAAACAAAACUUCAAUUUACUUCUUCAGUCAUUCUGCAGGAUCAUGGUGGGGUUUUUUUUGUUUUUGUUUUGGUGGUGGUGCUGAGAAUGGAGGCCAGGGCUGUGUGCUGCACAGGCUCUAAAUGGAAAAUAGAAAAACUGCACUUUCCAAGGGAUAAUGGCCUUGGGACAGGACCUUUGCCCAUUUGUCCCUGCCCACUGAUCAUUUGUAAGGUCAGCUUUUGCCAAAGAAAUGGCUUAAAUGUCUCGUCUCUCUACCUCUUUCUCUUUAUUGCAAAGAGGCAUUAUUCUCCACACAUUAAGCAUUUAAUCGCUACAGAGGCAUUUCUGAAUCUCCACUUAGGCUAGGGCAGCCACGGUGAGGAAAAACUGGAAAGGUGGUUGCAAAGCCCUUGUCAGACUUGGAACAAUUAGAAGAUGAAACAGUGGCUUGUGAGAAGUUAGUUGGAUCAUGACAGAAGGAAGAGCCAAUAGGAGAGAUGGAAGAAAGUCUGGCCUGACCAGAAGAAGGUCCCAUAUGAAUAACCACACCAAGAGAAGCUUCCUACUGGAGUGAAUUCAAGAGUAGGAUGUGGAGAAAGCAGUAGUAGGAAUCUCCUUUUUCUGCCUGAAGGGACUCAGCAUGAACAUACAUUCCAACUGGAGGAAGGUCAAGGAGUAAGAAAUCAGAAGAGAUGUGCUGCGCUAGAAGAUCUGGAAUGGAGGAACCAUUGGCCCCGCUGAGCAAGGCUGGACCUCCCCUUGUGACCUAGGAGAGAAAAGAGUGAGAGAGAAUCUCCUUGACAUUUUGGUGGACAUUCUUCCAUGUCUUUAUUGGUGCUAAAAUAUAUAAAUGUUCAAGAUCUCCAAGGGAAGGCUUGAAACCCCCUAAAGUACUCCCAAGCCUAGGGGAAUCAGAGGAGCACUACUUCUCCAGCUACGGACACCCUGGCAGCCUUUGAUCAGUGCAAGUUUUGUGAAAAUUUGCAAAAUCACGCUAUUUUUACAGUGUGAAUAAAGCAGAUGCUUAUCUAACGGAGGUGGAGGACACCUACGCACAUCACAAACUGCCAGAAAUUCAGGAUGACUUUCCUUCUCCUUCCCACCACCCCUAUUGCUAUCUCUGUGCACCCUUCCUAGCCACCCCACACCCCUGCGGUUUCCCUAAAGCUAUUCUUGUAGCACUUUCAUUUCCCUACACUGAUCCACCCAUCUGACAUGAUUCAGUCCACCCCAACAGGCACUCGCUUCCAGAGGUCCAGAAGUUCUCUUUUCCAGCUCCCAGCUUCCAGUCACCCUGGCCUUUCUUAUGCCCUCCUUAUCUUUGAAAGCCAGCUUUGCUACGUUCAUUAACAUUUCUGAGAUGCCUCGUUGAAGAAAACAAAGCCAAACAAAGAAAACUGGACCCUUCCCUUUCCUUUAAGCCCACAUUCCAGCCGGCUAGGAGGGGAAAGGUCAAUGUGGAGCUGCUUCUCCCUUCCAGGACCUGAGGUGCCAUUCAUUUCCCCUCCCUUGCGCAGUGCCUGCCUCCAUCCUCAUGGGAGGUACCAAGCAGAGCAUCUCAUCCGCUUAGUUUCUCAAGCAUUUUGCUUAACUCUUCUGUCUUCACUGCCCUCUUACUCUGCGGAUGUUUCCUAAAGUUGAAGUUGUGCUGAUCUCUUUUUUUUUUUUUUU